Long non-coding RNA from Nomascus leucogenys (northern white-cheeked gibbon), 1701 nucleotides. RefSeq lists it as uncharacterized. The record is from RefSeq and is a predicted model, not a curated record. The transcript is spliced from 3 exons. Lineage: Eukaryota; Metazoa; Chordata; Mammalia; Primates; Hylobatidae.
UUACUUUACUUUUUUAUUUCCUUCUAACUAUAGACCUUGUGGGUGUAUAGCACAGCUAGCUAUUAUAUAGCUAUGAGGAAUACCAGUACCUGCUGCUGCCAGUAAUUCCUUGAUGGAUUAUCUCAUAAAACUAGUCCCAGAUUUCAAAAAUUUGUUUGAAUUUAGGAAAUGAGUUAAUAUUCCUAAUUGACCACAACAACCACUCCCAGUCAUGAUGGAGAGAAGUGUUCAAUACCCACAGAUCCUGAAUGUUGAGCUGAUUAUACUAACUAGAUGGGACUUAGUUUUGUCUACCGUGGGGUUCUCUAUGGUGAAGAUGGCAACUUGCUGACUCAGUCUCAGAAUGCGUUAAAUCCACAUAUUCUGGCAAGUGGAGUUCUGCUUCUCCAAUAUCUCUUCCAGAUUAAGUCUGGAGAGGACUGUAAUUGAUCCACCCUGAGUCAUCUGCCCAUGUCCAAAGCAAUGAGUUUGGAAAAUUUCAUGACACACUCCUAAUUUUGUGGUAGGAGACACAUCAGAACCACACAAUGAGUCAGUCCUAUUUAUGAAAUAGAGGUUCAUCUAUCAGAUGAAAGGGAAAAAAGUUGUAAAAACAAAACAGAUGUUCACUAAUGGGAAUCUAUCUGAAUUUCACCUGUAACUACAAAUGCUUAAAAGUAGAUUUACAGUUCUCCUAGAGUGUCAUGAAUUUAAAAACAUAUGCAUGGAAUCAUAAAAUAGUAUCCUAAUCACCUCUCUCAACUUUGUGUUGAAUCUCUCCUUAACAUAAAAUGAGAAUAUUUUAGCAGCAGGAGAAGGAUUAUUUUUUCGUUUAUAGACCUUUAUCAGACACUAAUGUAGGAUUGAGUUUGACCUGAUACAGUGUUCUAUCUCUGAGUGUUGUCAUUCAGUUUUAUCAUAAAUAAAAUUUAUUUUAUAUGAUACCAUAUAGAGAACAAAUUUACUUAUUUUUCUCAUGUAAUCAUGUAAUCAAUUGUUCCAACAGAAUCCAUUGAAUAGAUACUGUGGCAUUUCCCUAAUUAUUUAUAAAGGCACUGUUACUAGAUAUGAAUAUUUAUAUGUGAGGAUAUGAAUCAUGGCUCUCUGAUUUGUUCAUUAUUUUCUUGUCUAUUCCUGUGCCAGUAUCAUACAAUUGGUACUAAUAUAGUGUUCUGAUAUUGACAGGAUGAAGUGCUCCUUCUAAUGAUGUAGCUUUAAAUUUGUCUUGGUUGUGCAUUUCUUUUUAUUCUUCCAUAGAGAUUUGUGGUUCAGUUGUCAGCUUUGAAAAUCACUUUUGGGAUUUGAAUUUGAAUUGCAUUAAAUUUGUAGACUAACUUGUAGAAAAUUGACAUUUUUAUGAUAUGAAUUUACACAUCCUUAUAACCAUGGGUGUGUUACUUAUUUUCACUUUUGAAUAUUAUUAUGGGUUUUUAGUAAUAAAAAUAACAAUCAACGAGUUACAUGGUGGUUACUAUGUGACAGAUGUUGUCAAAGUUCCAUCCAUAUAUCAACUUAUAUAUUCUUAUGGGAAGAGACCAUUAUUAUCUCCAUUACAAAAAUAAGAAAAUCGAGGUACAAAGAGCUUAAGUAACACGCGCUAAGUCAUAUAAGAGUAAAGCUUUAUUUGAAUCCAUGCAGUUUGUCUCCAAAGCUUGAAAUCCAUUUUAUUUUCUUUUAGUUUUACUUUUUUUAAAAAAAUUUUCGAGAUGGAAUCUCGCUUCG